CCUACGGGAGGCAGCAGUGGGGAAUAUUGGACAAUGGGCGAAAGCCUGAUCCAGCCAUGCCGCGUGUGUGAAGAAGGUCUUAGGAUCGUAAAGCACUUUAAGUUGGGAGGAAGGGUUGUAGAUUAAUACUCUGCAAUUUUGACGUUACCGACAGAAUAAGCACCGGCUAACUCUGUGCCAGCAGCCGCGGUAAUACAGAGGGUGCAAGCGUUAAUCGGAAUUACUGGGCGUAAAGCGCGCGUAGGUGGUUCGUUAAGUUGGAUGUGAAAUCCCCGGGCUCAACCUGGGAACUGCAUUCAAAACUGUCGAGCUAGAGUAUGGUAGAGGGUGGUGGAAUUUCCUGUGUAGCGGUGAAAUGCGUAGAUAUAGGAAGGAACACCAGUGGCGAAGGCGACCACCUGGACUGAUACUGACACUGAGGUGCGAAAGCGUGGGGAGCAAACAGGAUUAGAUACCCGGGUAGUC
RNAcentral lists this ribosomal RNA (465 nucleotides) under uncultured bacterium. RNAcentral's name for it is "bacterial SSU rRNA". It matches the Rfam family "Bacterial small subunit ribosomal RNA", at positions 338 to 795 of the family's 1533-position model. The record is from RNAcentral.